This 889-nucleotide ribosomal RNA is filed under the name Mactra alta. Its description in RNAcentral is "12S ribosomal RNA". Lineage: Eukaryota; Metazoa; Mollusca; Bivalvia; Venerida; Mactridae. The record is from RNAcentral.
UAAGAGAAUCAUUUGCCUUUGGUGGCUAAUAGGCUUUUUCUGUGUUUAUACAUGGCAUUAUAAAAGAGAAGGAAGGGUUAUAGAUAUUUCUUAUAAAUAAUUUAAUAUUUAUUGUAAGGUGAGUCUACAUUUUUUGAGAAGUUUUUGAAAAAAAAAGAAAAUAAAUUCCGCUGUUCAGUAAAAGAUUUUGAAAAGCACUGAAAGGUGGUUUUAGCAACAGAAGUAAGAAGAGAUAAAUAAAGUGCCAGCAAUCGCGGUUAAACUUUUUCUUCGAGUUUAUUUGUUCGUUGGGACUAGUAGAAAAUUAAAAAAAGAUAAAUUAAUUAGUGAGCUAGUGGUUAAAUACGGCACAACAUUGAAAUAUUUUUUGUUCUUUUAAUUUUGGGUCUAGAAAGGCUGUUAAUUCGACGUGGAUUUGAGACCCUCUUAGUAAUGCUGUUUUGCUUAACCUACGAGAAUUACGAACUAAGUGUUUAAAACUCAAAAAGGUUGGCGGCAUUUUGUAUCAGUUAGGGAAACUUGGUGGUUAAUACGAUGAUCCUCGUUAUACUUCACCUUUACUUACAAGGUACUUCUUAUACCGCCGUUGUAGUCUAUCUAUCUUAAAGAGUGUAGAGAUGGGUAUGAACACUAAAAGAUUUUAUUUAAAUGUGUGAAUUCAGGUAGACGUGAGAGAUGUAAAGGGCUUAACUGAGUUACAAUUGUUUUUCAUUGUUGGAGGUUGUCGUGAAACGGACAAUCGAGAUAGAACUUGUUAGUAAAACUAAAUUAUAGAGAUAGUUUGAAUUGAAAAAUCGAAAUGCGUACAAACCGCCCGGCACCCUAUAAUAGUUAACGGUAGGUAAGUCGUAACAAGGUGAUUGUAGUAGAAACUGCUGUUAAUAAUAUA